AGAGCGAACGCUGGCGGCAGGCCUAACACAUGCAAGUCGAACGGAUCCUUCGGGAUUAGUGGCAGACGGGUGAGUAACACGUGGGAACGUGCCUUUUGGUUCGGAACAACUCAGGGAAACUUGAGCUAAUACCGGAUGUGCCCUUCGGGGGAAAGAUUUAUCGCCAUUAGAGCGGCCCGCGUCUGAUUAGCUAGUUGGUGAGGUAAAGGCUCACCAAGGCUUCGAUCAGUAGCUGGUCUGAGAGGAUGAUCAGCCACACUGGGACUGAGACACGGCCCAGACUCCUACGGGAGCAGCAGUGGGGAAUCUUGCGCAAUGGGCGAAAGCCUGACGCAGCCAUGCCGCGUGAAUGAUGAAGGUCUUAA
This 365-nucleotide ribosomal RNA is filed under the name uncultured soil bacterium. Its description in RNAcentral is "bacterial SSU rRNA". It matches the Rfam family "Bacterial small subunit ribosomal RNA", at positions 26 to 420 of the family's 1533-position model. The record is from RNAcentral.